RNAcentral lists this long non-coding RNA (3215 nucleotides) under Carica papaya (papaya). RNAcentral's name for it is "long non-coding RNA (CPAP_LNC015955)". The record is from RNAcentral. Lineage: Eukaryota; Viridiplantae; Streptophyta; Magnoliopsida; Brassicales; Caricaceae.
UUCGGUACAUGUUUUUGAUAAUAUAAAUAAUAGUAUUCCGAGCGAUCUUAACCUUUACGGAAACUUCAUCUAGGGAAUUGGUUGAAGCCAAAACAGCCAUUGAAGGUUUCUUCUGCAGAGUAUAGAAUAAGUUAGAAGUUGAAACAUGAGAACACUGAGAAUAUGCAAAAAGGUGGAACAUAUAUAUAUAUAUAUUCAAUUUUAAGAAUGACAUGUAUGAUAUUACAAAAAUAUAUCUAUUUAUAUACAGAUAUAGAAAUGCAUGCGUGUAGAGAUAUAGAUAUAUAGGAAAAUAAACCAUGGGACAGAUACUGAGACAAUAAACUAGAAAGAAAAAAGAAGUAACAUACAAGCUAAGGUGAAUUAAAAUCUUCAAACAACAGAGAAUAACUAUACCUAUACUACAUACAUGAAUACAUAUAUAUAUAUGAAUAUAUAUGUAUAUAUCAAGAUAUAUGUCAAGCAAAAGUAUGUGAUAAGCAGAAGACUCACGCAAUAUAACACUAUAAUACCAUCAAGCAGAGAAAACUAGAGAGCUGAUGAAGGAAGAUGUGAGCAGACAACAAAAAUGGUCUCAAGAAAAGAAGUAAACUGAUGGGGAAGAAGAACACUGAGAAAAAACAUGGAGUUAGAGGAUUCAAUAUAUAGAAGAGCAAGAAGGAUGAGUGUCAUUUUCAUGCAUGUCUUAUCCAAUUUGCUGUUCAAGAAUUUUAUUUUGGAAAAAAAAAAAAGAAAAAACAAAAUAAUUAUGUAAUAUAAUUAUAAAUUGUGAAAAAAAUAUAAAAGAGAAGAGAUGGGUCUGUUCAAAUGAGUUUGUGCCACAAAUUUGAGUCAUCCCCUUCUUGACUUCUAUAUAUAUAUAUGUAUCUAUAAGUGGGUAUUUAUAUAUGUUGAAAUUUCCAUAUUGAGUUGUGUAUUUUUAUUAAAUUUUUUUAUUUAAGGAAGUAUUUACAUAAUUUUUUAUAAAUUCAAUUGAAAUUCUCGAAUCGGGUUACAUAUUUUCAUAUAUUUUUAUUAAAAAAUUAUAUUAUAGUUGAUAUUUACGUACGAACUAAUAACAAAAAUUUCGUAAUUGAUAAAUAUAGAAUUACGUAUCGUAAUUUCUCCCUAUAAUUAAGAAAAUUUGUGAAUUUAUGAACUUUAGAUUUCUGGGUGUUCACAAAUUUUUGAUAAUCUCUCCUAAAUUUCACUCUCAUGUUUCCAUCACAAACCAAUAUAAACAGUACUUAUAAUUAUAAACAGUAGAUAUCUCAAGAAACUUCUUUUUGCAAAUUAUUACAUUUGGAGUGAUUAUAACUCUUGGACUAAUUUGUAUUUGGAAAAUCACUUUAAACUUUAUUUGUCAAAUUAAUUAACCAAAUUGUUAACAAUUUCUUCUGCCCUUUUGCCCUCCAAAGUUAAUUAAUUAUUAAGUAAUUAUAUUGUAUUGUUAAUUCUUUCCAUUAAUGGAAUUGCAGAAGAUGAAAGGAAAUUUUCCCAUCUCAAAGGGAUUACAUACAUAUAUAAACACAUAUAUAUACACAGACACACAUAUAUAUAUAUGCAACACAUGAAUUAGAAUAAGAUUAGAACUAAUUAUGCAAUGAAUUAUAUGGACCACAGAAGUUAAUCACCAUAAAAGUUUCCAUUCUAGCAUCCAGUCGUUAGAUGUUGUUAUCAAUUUAAUCAACAAUUGACAUUCAAUUAUUACUUACAUACAUUUAGUGAAAUACGUAUAUAUAUAUAUAUAUAUAUAUAUAUAUUACCAAUAGCAGAUUGAAGUUCAUCUACUGAUUAUAUAAUCCAGUUUAUAAGAUCAGAAGAAGUAUUGAUGUAUAAGCACAAGAAGUGUUUUGUAUAAGCACAAACAAAAAUAUGAUACAUGCACAUGAUCUAUAUAUAUAAAUAUAUAUAUAUAUAUACAUAUAUAUAAGCAUGCAAAAGGUAUUUUGAAGCGAACCCAGAAAACAAAAGAGGGGGGUUAUCAUGUUAUAGGAAAAUGUUUUGUUUCAUUAGUCUUAAAUAUCAAUUAAUAUUCUCCAACUUUAUAUCUAUAUAUAUAUAUGUAUGUAUGUAUACAUGUGUAUGUGUAUAUAUAUAUGUAUAUAUGUAUAAAAAGAGAAUAGCUAGUUGUUAGAAAGAUAUCAAAUCAUAGUAAGGUUUUCCCAGAAGUGUAUUCUUUCAUUCUUGGAAGGCAAACAUAACUUUUUCCAUUGUCUUGAAACUUCUCCCAUUGCUGGUAUUUUAAGUUUUUCCAAAUGGAGGCUAUGAUAAAUAUACAUACACACACACAAUAUAUAUAUAUAUAUAUAUGUGUAUAAACAUACAAAUGUGAUGGGUCACUUUACUCAGGCCUAUACUAAAUGUACAUAUAGUCCUAAAUGAAAUGACAGUGACAAUUCAAAAUCCAAUCAAGCAAUUUGAUGGAGGAAAGUUAGCCAAGUGUAAAACAAAAUUAGGUCAUCAUGAUGAUCAAACUACUUUUUAUUUUUUUGAAUUUUUUGUUGUAUGUAUAGAUUAUAUUCCAUCAAAUGACCCCUCACAAAUUUAAAAUUGACAUAUGCACUUUAAUUAAUAAUAUUAAUUAUUAUAAGUUUAAUUUCUUCUAGAAAAUAGUAGAGUUCCAUAGAAUUUUUACAUUAAAAUACAAUAUAAUUUUAACUCAUCUAAUUUUUCGAAACUAUAUAAACAUAAUUCUGUAAGUAACAAAAAUAAACAAGAACUAAAACGAAUAUCAAACCAACGUUUAUUUUAUAAUUUUUCGAUAUAUAAAGACUAACCUUUUCGGAGACUUGAAGGAAAAUGUGAUUUUCAGAGGGACUCGAAGGGUUGAGAGAACGAAGUGACAGAAUUCUUUUCUCAUUUACUGUAAAGAUUUAAGAAGUCGAAACCAUGCAAAUCGAACACUAAACCCUAUCUCAAAGUUUAACCUGAGUUUCUCGACUCAGAUUCUGAUCAACGACACUAAUUUGAAUUCCUUGGUUUUAAGUUUCUUCCACUUUCAAGAAGAAGAAGAAGAAGAAGAGAGAUGUAGAAGUGAGAACAGGAGAGUAGAGAGAGGGCGUGUAUGUGUUUUUGUGUGUGUGUGUAUACAUACGUAUAUACAUAUACAUUGGGGAUUAUAAUAUGUGGCUAGGUUUGAAUAUUUGUAUAACAGCUUGCUCCUUAAAAGACUCUCUCAACAAGUUUAAGCUGUUUGAAAUGGCUGAAAAUAAGGAGGAAAUUUAUGUCUCUGC